RNAcentral lists this long non-coding RNA (919 nucleotides) under Betta splendens (Siamese fighting fish). Its description in RNAcentral is "lncRNA (ENSBSLG00000008181.1)". Lineage: Eukaryota; Metazoa; Chordata; Actinopteri; Anabantiformes; Osphronemidae. The record is from RNAcentral.
GAAAGAGCAGGCUUCACUUAGACAAAGUUGCGCUGUGAGCGCCCCUCCAGCGUUUGGUUUCAUCCAGCAUUUACUGGGUUAACCUUGAAGCCGAAGCGCGGGGGAGGGGUGGUUCUCCGGAACUUGGACAUCAUUGGCUACGGGUAACCCUGGUAACGCCAUACUUGGGCCUUUUCCGCCUUGCUGGGGCAGAAACGGCGCUAAGGCUUAUGGCCUCCAUCUUAGAACCUCCACUUUACUUUCGGUUUUGCGUGUAGCGAGUUGUGCCUCAUAGAAGAGGAGAAAAAUAUUCUUCGCUCAGAAGUUGGAGCAGAACCCUUUUCGGACCAUUGUGGACGUACCGCGUGCUUUGGACCGAAACGUUUUUUUGGAUUACAUUCGCUGGAUUAUAACAAACAGAAUGAGACCGCACUCGACGUGACUGAGCGACGUUUGGGGCUCAGCAGUCGUCAAAAAUGAUGAACGUAACACAAACCAGCGGAGUCGAGUGGCGCGCAUCGCCUUCGUCAGAUUUGCCUUCGUGCUCCUGCUCCUCCUCAUGAAGAAGGAGGUCACCAUCUGCGAGGCGGUGCAGCCAAGUCACACUCUGAAUCUAUUAAUCAGAGCUGCGUUGGAACAGACAACUGCGAGACGCCAUAAUCCACAUGCACAGACACUGGUGGCGCUCAGCGUUCAGCAGACGAGACCGCUGCCCCGGAAAAACAAACGCAGACCGUGGAUGAACGUCUGGGACGAGCCCCGAAUCCCUGACUUCUGCUUGUUGAACACUGGACCACGCCAGCGGCUGCGACGGCCCGAGGCGGCGCUCGGUACUAACAUCUGCAGGCACGCGGCCCAUCGAUGCCAUAUGUUCUGUAAGCAGAGUCGGAAAAAAGAAGACUGCUGUAAAACUAAGUGGAAGCAAAUUAGCACAAAUUAA